This 133-nucleotide non-coding RNA is filed under the name Micromonospora sp. Its description in RNAcentral is "SAM-I sequence". It matches the Rfam family "SAM riboswitch aptamer (S box leader)". Rfam says of the family: The SAM riboswitch is found upstream of a number of genes which code for proteins involved in methionine or cysteine biosynthesis in Gram-positive bacteria. The SAM riboswitch acts at the level of transcription termination control. The predicted structure consists of a complex stem-loop region followed by a single stem loop terminator region. Lineage: Bacteria; Bacillati; Actinomycetota; Actinomycetes; Micromonosporales; Micromonosporaceae. The record is from RNAcentral.
ACCUCAUCCAGAGGGGCUGAGGGAUACGGCCCGAUGACGCCCCGGCAACCACCCGCGCGCUCGAUGACGAGCGACCGCGGGCAGGUGCCAAUUCCGUCCCCGCCGCACCCGGCGAUGCGGGGAAAGAUGAGAG